Long non-coding RNA from Ficedula albicollis (Collared flycatcher), 460 nucleotides. RefSeq lists it as uncharacterized. The transcript is spliced from 2 exons. NCBI's taxonomy places the organism in Eukaryota, Metazoa, Chordata, Aves, Passeriformes, Muscicapidae. The record is from RefSeq and is a predicted model, not a curated record.
UUGUUUUACUUUUUAUUAUUUAAAUACACCAUACUAGAGCAAAUGUCUCUGAAAAUAUCACAAAUAAAAGAUUUUUCUUCAUUCAGCAAAUUAGAAGUAGGUGAAAAUUUCUACACAGUAGCUGCUAUGAGCCUGACUUUUUUUCUUUUUUUUUUUUUUCUUUUGCCAUGGGAAGUAGCAACAUUAGGACAAAAACACUUACAUGCAUACAUACAUUGUAUUUUACAGAGAUACAAUAAAAGUGUUUGUGAUAGAAUAUCACAAAAGCCACAUCUUUAUCUCAUGUUCAGUUUGAUUGAAACACAUUUCCUUACAACACUUAAAUAUACAAAGAGCAAAUAGAAUGUUGUUAAGGUAAAACAGGGUACAAACUGGCCAGUGCCCUGCUAAUUGUUAAUGAGGGUAGAAAGCAGAUUUCAAUGCUUCUUUUAAUUAGCUUCAUUAGUCAUCUUCCCCCCCC